ACGACCUUACUUGAACAGGAUCUGUUCUAUAGGCUCGUACCUCUGUUUCCUUAAGUUCUAAAGAGACAGGUGACUAUGUCUGGUUGAUGAAUCAGGACCUUGUGAUCAGAGCGUGAUUAAGUGCUACUGCUGUUCUGUUCGAACUUCAGUGCAGUAGAGGAUCGUUCCCUGGCGUCCUAGUAGGGCUUGGGGAUGGUCACAAGGUUGUCUGACAGACA
Small nucleolar RNA from Amaranthus tricolor (Joseph's coat), 218 nucleotides. RefSeq annotates it as small nucleolar RNA U3. Lineage: Eukaryota; Viridiplantae; Streptophyta; Magnoliopsida; Caryophyllales; Amaranthaceae. The record is from RefSeq and is a predicted model, not a curated record. The transcript has a single exon.